Molecule: ribosomal RNA, 596 nt
Filed under: uncultured fungus
Lineage: Eukaryota; Fungi
Description: eukaryotic LSU rRNA
Rfam family: Eukaryotic large subunit ribosomal RNA (bases 325-596)
Source: RNAcentral
CGAAAUGCGAUAAGUAAUGUGAAUUGCAGAAUUCAGUGAAUCAUCGAAUCUUUGAACGCACCUUGCGCUCCUUGGUAUUCCGAGGAGCAUGCCUGUUUGAGUGUCAUUAAAUUCUCAACCUUUAUCAACUUUUGUUGAUAAUGGCUUGGAUGUGGGGGUCUAUUUUGCUGGCUUCACAGAUAGUCAGCUCCCCUUAAAUGCAUUAGCCGGUGCCCCGCGUGGACUGUCUAUUGGUGUGAUAAUUAUCUACGCUAUGGACAUCUGCAAUCAUAUGGGUUUGCACUGCUUCCAAUAGUCUGUUGAUUCAGACAAUACAUGACAAUUUGACCUCAAAUCAGGUAGGACUACCCGCUGAACUUAAGCAUAUCAAUAAGCGGAGGAAAAGAAACUAACAAGGAUUCCCCUAGUAACUGCGAGUGAAGCGGGAAAAGCUCAAAUUUAAAAUCUGGCGGUCUCUGGCCGUCCGAGUUGUAAUCUAGAGAAGUGUUAUCCGCGCUGGACCGUGUACAAGUCUCCUGGAAUGGAGCGUCAUAGAGGGUGAGAAUCCCGUCUUUGACACGGACUACCAGGGCUUUGUGAUGCGCUCUCAAAGAGUC